UGUUUGCAAAUUCCUGAUACUCUAGUUACUGAGCUGGUCUUCGAGUAGUAGUGGUCGCUGGUUGGUGAUGCCACUUGAGCAACGACUUGGGUUUUAGGUCGUCGCGGCCGAAAAAAAUAUCAAUCUCUGCGCGAAUCAUUGGCGUAGGCCAGCCUGGGAGAGAGGAAGGAAGCAUCUUCCUGUGCCUCUCCUUACCCUCUUCGUCUUCUUCUCCAUCUCCUUGUGUGCUCAGUAGCUUCUCCUCCUACGAAACCAACCAGCUGCCGCCGGUGACCGUCGAUCCGUCGACCGCCGCCGCCAUGAGCAGCGAUGUUCCUGGGUACUUCGUGGGGCGGCCGAUGAACCAAGCGGAGCCUGCGAAAGAACAGCAGCAGGGCGCCGACGAGCAGCGGCCUGCUACCAACGCGCAGAUCCCUGGUGACUACUUCGUCGGGCGUCCGGCAAACCCGCAGCAGCCGCCGUCGCAACCUCCGCGGGCGCAGGAGAGAUCGAGCUUCUUGGCCAAAUGCUGCCCAUGCCUCGACAGCCGAGCUGAGGGAUAGACGAACAAGUGCGGCGGCGGGCGUGACCGUAAAUUCGAUGGGAAAAUUGAAGCAAAUUUGCUUGGAGUGAUAAGGCUCGGAUCUGUGUUUGUGUUGCAAGUUUUGCUAAUAGAUGUUUGUAACUGAAGGUUGCUUCUAUUCAUUUGUAUACCAAUUGUUCAUUCGUAUCAUCAGAGUGCGAAUUCGAUGAAAUUGUCCAUUCCAAUCCGGCAUGCCUUUUCUCCUUCCUUGAAAUGAAUAUUCUGCUCCAUUGCUGGCAAAUGUCAAGAAUGAGUUUGUUGUUUUAUUCA
Molecule: long non-coding RNA, 832 nt
Organism: Oryza sativa Japonica Group (Japanese rice)
Lineage: Eukaryota; Viridiplantae; Streptophyta; Magnoliopsida; Poales; Poaceae
Source: RefSeq, a predicted model, not a curated record